ACUGUAGGCUGCAACUCGCCUACACGAAGUCGGAAUCGCUAGUAGUCGCGGAUCAGCAUGCCGCGGUGAAUACGUUCCCGGGCCUUGUACACACCGCCCGUCACACCAUGGGAGUUUGUAACGCCCAAAGUCGGUGGCCUAACCUUUAUGGAGGGAGCCGCCUAAGGCGGGACAGAUGACUGGGGUGAAGUCGUAACAAGGUAUC
This 205-nucleotide ribosomal RNA is filed under the name uncultured bacterium. RNAcentral describes it as "partial 16S ribosomal RNA". It matches the Rfam family "Bacterial small subunit ribosomal RNA", at positions 1297 to 1500 of the family's 1533-position model. The record is from RNAcentral.